Molecule: transfer RNA, 65 nt
Filed under: Dipodomys ordii (Ord's kangaroo rat)
Lineage: Eukaryota; Metazoa; Chordata; Mammalia; Rodentia; Heteromyidae
Rfam family: tRNA
About the family: Transfer RNA (tRNA) molecules are approximately 80 nucleotides in length.
Source: Rfam by way of RNAcentral
GGUGGCUCAGUGGUAGAGUACUUGCCUUGCAUGCAGGAAGCCCUGGGUUCAAUUCCUCAGCACCA